RNAcentral lists this ribosomal RNA (442 nucleotides) under Arthrobacter sp. 8-D15. Its description in RNAcentral is "bacterial SSU rRNA". It matches the Rfam family "Bacterial small subunit ribosomal RNA", at positions 56 to 513 of the family's 1533-position model. Lineage: Bacteria; Bacillati; Actinomycetota; Actinomycetes; Micrococcales; Micrococcaceae. The record is from RNAcentral.
UGCAGUCGAACGAUGAUGCCAGCUUGCUGGUGGAUUAGUGGCGAACGGGUGAGUAACACGUGAGUAACCUGCCCUUGACUCUGGGAUAAGCCUGGGAAACUGGGUCUAAUACCGGAUAUGACUCCUCAUCGCAUGGUGGGGGGUGGAAAGCUUUUUGUGGUUUUGGAUGGACUCGCGGCCUAUCAGCUUGUUGGUGAGGUAAUGGCUUACCAAGGCGACGACGGGUAGCCGGCCUGAGAGGGUGACCGGCCACACUGGGACUGAGACACGGCCCAGACUCCUACGGGAGGCAGCAGUGGGGAAUAUUGCACAAUGGGCGAAAGCCUGAUGCAGCGACGCCGCGUGAGGGAUGACGGCCUUCGGGUUGUAAACCUCUUUCAGUAGGGAAGAAGCGAAAGUGACGGUACCUGCAGAAGAAGCGCCGGCUAACUACGUGCCAGCA